RNAcentral lists this ribosomal RNA (655 nucleotides) under uncultured bacterium. Its description in RNAcentral is "bacterial SSU rRNA". It matches the Rfam family "Bacterial small subunit ribosomal RNA", at positions 232 to 885 of the family's 1533-position model. The record is from RNAcentral.
CGCGGCCUAUCAGCUUGUUGGUGGGGUGAUGGCCUACCAAGGCGACGACGGGUAGCCGGCCUGAGAGGGUGUCCGGCCACACUGGGACUGAGAUACGGCCCAGACUCCUACGGGAGGCAGCAGUGGGGAAUAUUGCACAAUGGGCGCAAGCCUGAUGCAGCGACGCCGCGUGGGGGAUGACGGCCUUCGGGUUGUAAACCUCUUUCACCAUCGACGAAGGUCCGGGUUUUCUCGGAUUGACGGUAGGUGGAGAAGAAGCACCGGCCAACUACGUGCCAGCAGCCGCGGUAAUACGUAGGGUGCGAGCGUUGUCCGGAAUUACUGGGCGUAAAGAGCUCGUAGGUGGUUUGUCGCGUUGUUCGUGAAAUCUCACGGCUUAACUGUGAGCGUGCGGGCGAUACGGGCAGACUAGAGUACUGCAGGGGAGACUGGAAUUCCUGGUGUAGCGGUGGAAUGCGCAGAUAUCAGGAGGAACACCGGUGGCGAAGGCGGGUCUCUGGGCAGUAACUGUCGCUGAGGAGCGAAAGCGUGGGGAGCGAACAGGAUUAGAUACCCUGGUAGUCCACGCCGUAAACGGUGGGUACUAGGUGUGGGUUUCCUUCCUUGGGAUCCGUGCCGUAGCUAACGCAUUAAGUACCCCGCCUGGGGAGUACGG